AACGUAGGAGCCUAGCGUUAUCCGAAUUCACUGGGCGUAAAGCGCGUGCAGGCGGCUUGGUAAGUUGGAUGUGAAAUCUCUCGGCUCAACUGGGAGAGGACGUUCAAUACUGCCAGGCUAGAGGGCGGAAGAGGGAGGUGGAAUUCCCGGUGUAGUGGUGAAAUGCGUAGAUAUCGGGAGGAACACCAGUGGCGAAGGCGGCCUCCUAGGCCGCUCCUGACGCUCAGACGCGAAAGCUAGGGGAGCGAACGGG
RNAcentral lists this ribosomal RNA (253 nucleotides) under uncultured bacterium. Its description in RNAcentral is "partial 16S ribosomal RNA". It matches the Rfam family "Bacterial small subunit ribosomal RNA", at positions 524 to 776 of the family's 1533-position model. The record is from RNAcentral. RNAcentral also lists the same sequence under 1 other name.